This 660-nucleotide ribosomal RNA is filed under the name Marinovum sp. RNAcentral's name for it is "bacterial SSU rRNA". It matches the Rfam family "Bacterial small subunit ribosomal RNA", at positions 37 to 744 of the family's 1533-position model. The record is from RNAcentral. Lineage: Bacteria; Pseudomonadati; Pseudomonadota; Alphaproteobacteria; Rhodobacterales; Roseobacteraceae.
CAGGGGGGAGCCUACACAUGCAAGUCGAGCGAGCUCUUCGGAGCUAGCGGCGGACGGGUUAGUAACGCGUGGGAACGUGCCCUUCACUGCGGAAUAGCCACUGGAAACGGUGAGUAAUACCGCAUACGCCCUUCGGGGGAAAGAUUUAUCGGUGAAGGAUCGGCCCGCGUUAGAUUAGAUAGUUGGUGGGGUAACGGCCUACCAAGUCUACGAUCUAUAGCUGGUUUUAGAGGAUGAUCAGCAACACUGGGACUGAGACACGGCCCAGACUCCUACGGGAGGCAGCAGUGGGGAAUCUUGGACAAUGGGCGCAAGCCUGAUCCAGCCAUGCCGCGUGAGUGAUGAAGGCCUUAGGGUCGUAAAGCUCUUUCGCCAGAGAUGAUAAUGACAGUAUCUGGUAAAGAAACCCCGGCUAACUCCGUGCCAGCAGCCGCGGUAAUACGGAGGGGGUUAGCGUUGUUCGGAAUUACUGGGCGUAAAGCGCACGUAGGCGGAUCAGAAAGUUGGGGGUGAAAUCCCGGGGCUCAACCCCGGAACUGCCUCCAAAACUCCUGGUCUUGAGUUCGAGAGAGGUGAGUGGAAUUCCGAGUGUAGAGGUGAAAUUCGUAGAUAUUCGGAGGAACACCAGUGGCGAAGGCGGCUCACUGGCUCGAUACUGAC